RNAcentral lists this ribosomal RNA (449 nucleotides) under uncultured bacterium. RNAcentral describes it as "bacterial SSU rRNA". It matches the Rfam family "Bacterial small subunit ribosomal RNA", at positions 329 to 793 of the family's 1533-position model. The record is from RNAcentral.
CCCCAGACUCCUACGGGAGGCAGCAGUGGGGAAUAUUGCACAAUGGGGGAAACCCUGAUGCAGCAACGCCGCGUGAGUGAGGAAGUAUUUCGGUGUGUAAAGCCCUAUCGGCAGGGAAGAAGAAAUGACGGUACCUGAAUAAGAAGCACCGGCUAAAUACGUGCCAGCAGCCGCGGUAAUACGUAUGGGGCAAGCGUUAUCCGGAUUUACUGGGCGUAAAGGGAGCGCAGGCGGCGCGCCAAGUCUGAUGUGAAACCCCGGGGCUCAACCCCGGGCAUGCAUUGGAAACUGGCGGGCUGGAGUGCCGGAGAGGUAAGCGGAAUUCCUAGUGUAGCGGUGAAAUGCGUAGAUAUUAGGAGGAACACCAGUGGCGAAGGCGGCCUGCUGGACGGUAACUGACGCUGAGGCUCGAAAGCGUGGGGAGCAAACAGGAUUAGAUACCCCGGUAA